UCCCUGGUGGCUCAGAGGUUAAAGCGUCUGCCUGAAAUGCGGGAGACCCGGGUUCGAUCCCUGGGUCGGGAA
This 72-nucleotide transfer RNA is filed under the name Ovis aries (sheep). It matches the Rfam family "tRNA". Rfam says of the family: Transfer RNA (tRNA) molecules are approximately 80 nucleotides in length. Their secondary structure includes four short double-helical elements and three loops (D, anti-codon, and T loops). Further hydrogen bonds mediate the characteristic L-shaped molecular structure. tRNAs have two regions of fundamental functional importance: the anti-codon, which is responsible for specific mRNA codon recognition, and the 3' end, to which the tRNAs corresponding amino acid is attached (by aminoacyl-tRNA synthetases). tRNAs cope with the degeneracy of the genetic code in two manners: having more than one tRNA (with a specific anti-codon) for a particular amino acid; and 'wobble' base-pairing, i.e. permitting non-standard base-pairing at the 3rd anti-codon position. Lineage: Eukaryota; Metazoa; Chordata; Mammalia; Artiodactyla; Bovidae. The record is from Rfam by way of RNAcentral.